This 699-nucleotide ribosomal RNA is filed under the name uncultured bacterium. RNAcentral's name for it is "bacterial SSU rRNA". It matches the Rfam family "Bacterial small subunit ribosomal RNA", at positions 8 to 714 of the family's 1533-position model. The record is from RNAcentral.
AGAGUUUGAUCCUGGCUCAGGACGAACGUUGGCGGUGCGCUUAAUGCAUGCAAGUCGAGGGAGAAGCAUUUGUUCCGUAAGGUUCAGAUGUGGAAACCGGCGAACGGGUGCGUAACACGUGAGGAACCUGCCCCGAAGACCGGGAUAGCCCGAGGAAACUCGGAUUAAUACCGGAUACCCUCUUUGGACCACAUGGUCCGCUGAGGAAAUGGUCCGCCGCUUCGGGAUGGCCUCGCGGCCUAUCAGCUUGUUGGUGAGGUAACGGCUCACCAAGGCAAAGACGGGUAGCUGGUCUGAGAGGACGAUCAGCCACACUGGGACUGAGACACGGCCCAGACUCCUACGGGAGGCAGCAGCAGGGAAUAUUGCACAAUGGGCGAAAGCCUGAUGCAGCGACACCGCGUGCGGGAUGAAGGCCCUCGGGUUGUAAACCGCUUUCAGGAGGGACGAAAAUGACGGUACCUCCAGAAGAAGGCCCGGCCAACUACGUGCCAGCAGCCGCGGUAAUACGUAGGGGCCAAACGUUGUCCGGAUUUAUUGGGCGUAAAGGGCUCGUAGGCGGUUCAACAAGUCGAUCGUGAAAGCCCGGGGCUCAACCCCGGGACGCCGGUCGAAACUGUUGUGACUAGGGUCCGGUAGAGGUGAGUGGAAUUCUCGGUGUAGCGGUGGAAUGCGCAGAUAUCGAGAGGAACACCAGUU